CAUCAUCCUAACCUCCAGAUUGAAGCUGUUCCUCCCUGAGGAUGUGUGCGUGUAAAUGGAGCAGCCUGCAGUGCUUUGUUAUGUCCACGGUAUCGAUAGAGGACAGUAGACAGACCGUACAUCACUCACAGUUCAGACAGUGACCAGCAAUGGACUGAGCCCACUAUGUGUGUGUGUUUGGACAGCGGUGAAGGACUGUGCUACAAAGCCAAAUAAGCCAAACCCGGCGAGAAAAACUUCACAGACGGAGUUGGAUCAGGCUGCUGCUUGAAGAACCUGCAGGUUCUGCUCUGACUGGCACCUCUACAUAUCAGGAAGCUGAAAGGUCAAUUCCUUUCUAUUUGAGAUGAGAGAAAAGAUAAAUGGGAGAAUUAGAUUCACCAUACCUGGGCAACAGAGAAAAAGACAGAGCGAGAGCAGCUGUUGCCAGGCAACCGCGGCUGGCAAACGAGGUGUGGAGAAGUGAAGGAAGGAACAGAGGCGCAGUAUUUUGGGGGAGGAGACGAAGGACUGGGAAGGAGAAGGAGAGAGAAAUGGGAGGAACGAACUUGGUGUCUCAGGCUCUGCUCUCUCCCUUCUCUCGUCCUACCUCGACGGCCGCACCUACCGAGUAACCUGGCGAGGAUCUGUGUCGGAACCUUGUCCUCUUACUACUGGAGUUCCUCAGGGUUCCGUCCUGGGUCCCCUCCUCUUCUCACUCAGAAGGCAGCGCAGGUACUUAUUCAGGCUCGUGUCAUCUCCCUCCUGGACUACUGUAACUCUCUCCUGCAGGUCUCCUGCUACCACCAUUCCACCUCUGCAGCUCAUCCAGAAUGCAGCAGCUCCACUGGUCUUUAACCUUCCUAAGUUCUCCCUCACUCCUCCACUCCUCCGCUCUCUUCACUGGUACCGGUGGCUUAUCCA
This is a long non-coding RNA of Gasterosteus aculeatus aculeatus (three-spined stickleback), 903 nucleotides long. The record is from Ensembl. NCBI's taxonomy places the organism in Eukaryota, Metazoa, Chordata, Actinopteri, Perciformes, Gasterosteidae.